GUGGGGAAUAUUAGGCAAUGGGCGAAAGCCUGACCUAGCAACGCCGCGUGAAGGAAGAAGGCCUUCGGGUUGUAAACUUCUUUUAUGAGGGACGAAGGACGUGACGGUACCUCAUGAAUAAGCCACGGCUAACUACGUGCCAGCAGCCGCGGUAAUACGUAGGUGGCGAGCGUUGUCCGGAUUUACUGGGUGUAAAGGGUGCGUAGGCGGACUGGCAAGUCAGAUGUGAAAUACAGGGGAUCAACCCCUGAACUGCAUUUGAAACUGUUGGUCUUGAGUAUCGGAGAGGCAAGCGGAAUUCCUAGUGUAGCGGUGAAAUGCGUAGAUAUGACACAGAACACCGAUUGCGAAGGCAGCUUACUGAGAUGAAACUGACGCUCAUGCACGAAAGCGUGGGGAUCAAACAGGAUUAGAAACCCUGGUAGUCC
This 428-nucleotide ribosomal RNA is filed under the name uncultured bacterium. RNAcentral's name for it is "partial 16S ribosomal RNA". It matches the Rfam family "Bacterial small subunit ribosomal RNA", at positions 354 to 796 of the family's 1533-position model. The record is from RNAcentral.